RNAcentral lists this small nucleolar RNA (123 nucleotides) under Nannospalax galili (Upper Galilee mountains blind mole rat). Its description in RNAcentral is "Small nucleolar RNA SNORA32 (ENSNGAG00000009878.1)". Lineage: Eukaryota; Metazoa; Chordata; Mammalia; Rodentia; Spalacidae. The record is from RNAcentral.
UGGAAACUCCUCAAAAAGUUAGAAAUUCAUCAACCAUUGCUGUGGACAUCACCAUAGAAACAAACACUCCCACUGGGUGUUCUGUGUGCUGUCUUGCUAGAAAUCGACCUUUUGGGAACAUUU